UACGUAGGGGGCAAGCGUUGUCCGGAUUUAUUGGGCGUAAAGAGCGUGUAGGCGGCCAGGUAGGUCUGCUGUGAAAACUCGAGGCUUAACCUCGAGCUGUCGGCGGAAACCAUCUGGCUAGAGUCCGGAAGAGGAGAAUGGAAUUCCCGGUGUAGCGGUGAAAUGCGCAGAUAUCGGGAAGAACACCCGUGGCUAAGGCGGUUCUCUGGGACGGUACUGACGCUGAGACGCGAAAGCGUGGGGAGCGAACAGG
RNAcentral lists this ribosomal RNA (253 nucleotides) under uncultured bacterium. RNAcentral's name for it is "partial 16S ribosomal RNA". It matches the Rfam family "Bacterial small subunit ribosomal RNA", at positions 524 to 776 of the family's 1533-position model. The record is from RNAcentral.